GCCAUCUGUUGUUCUUUUUAUUGAUAGAUCAUCUGACUCGUUGAAGAUUAGAGAAAAAAGCAGGAAGGCUCUUGAUUCUUUUCGAGAGUUUGCCCUGAAAGUUCAGAUGUCAAAUGAAAUGAGUGAACCAAAAACAUUCAGAUCACAAAUGACAUCUCUUAAGGCUUUUCAAGCAUCAAGUAGUACCUCCAGACACCCUACAGUGGGGCUGUUGACAGCAUCUCAAAAGAUAAAUAGCAAAGACAAGAUGUCAAUUGUUGUAAUGAAUCAGGGGAAACAAGUCACCCG
Molecule: unclassified non-coding RNA, 288 nt
Filed under: Hevea brasiliensis (rubber tree)
Lineage: Eukaryota; Viridiplantae; Streptophyta; Magnoliopsida; Malpighiales; Euphorbiaceae
Source: RNAcentral